Molecule: long non-coding RNA, 3778 nt
Filed under: Heterocephalus glaber (naked mole-rat)
Lineage: Eukaryota; Metazoa; Chordata; Mammalia; Rodentia; Bathyergidae
Description: lncRNA (ENSHGLG00100028600.2)
Source: RNAcentral
GGGUGGCACCGCGACAGUCGCGUCCCGGGGGCCUCGUCCUCGCCACCUCCCCGCUGCGGGCCGGGGCACUCGGGGCUUCCUGCCCUCAGAACUGUGCCCUGGGUGUGCACGUGGGGCCGAGGGUCCCCUGGCCUGGGCGAGGGUGCAGGGACCCGAAACUGGGUGACUCUUCCCGGUCCCGGUGUGGCUGUCCUGUAACCAUGACGACUGCGGGCUUUGGCACGUGGAUGUGGAUGCAGAGCCUGAAGGCAGGGAUUGGGCAGGUGGUGCAGGGUGAGGGGCCCCUGGGGACGGACCUGCUGGGAGCUGCAGCUGCCCCGAGCUGGGCUCCCUGUGCGUGGUGACAGGGCCUUUGCAGCUGGGGACCAGGUGAUGGACGGUCAGGGGCGGGGAGGGGCCUUGUCCGUGGGCAGGGAGCACAGGAAGUCGAUGUGGGCGAGAUAGGAAGAGCUGAGAGGCCGCAGAGGCGUUAAAUGGCUCCGACUGACUGGGCGGCCACACUCGGAUGGAAUUUACCCAUUUAGGAAGUUUCCCACUUCAGGACAGGACGUUUGUCGAACACCUGUUGUGUCCCAUGUGCUUUGUACAGUAGCAGGAUUAAUAAUCCUUGCAAUGGCCCCCACAUGUUAUUACUCUCUUCUUGAUGCAAGAGGGAGCACCCAAGGUUUACAGUGUGUUGUCCCACUUUGGCUUUCUGUUCUAAACAGUUACAGCUCCGGAAACUCAUGUUGAUAGCUAGAUGGACUAAGCAGCCACCCUCAUUCUAAAGCUGAGGAUAGAGGGUCUGAGGUGUGGACUGCGGAGACCCUGGGUAGCAGAGUUCUGCCUGCAGGGGGUCUCUGUCGGCCACCUCAGAAAACAGCUCCCACCGAGGUGAAGACCUUUCCAGCUCCGGGGUGUGGCUGUCCCCCGAAUGGAGCGUCUCUGUGCAGGGCACGCAAGGCCUCGGGGCAUGUGGAGUCCCCGGAACUGGAACGUGUGGGCAGCGUGGGUGACCUGUGCUUGCACAGGCCUCGUUGUGUCUGUCACCUGUUGGAUCACAGGCGCUCCGACCAGGUCUGCACACCAGGAAGCAAAGGAACAUGGCUCAUUCCCAGGGAAUCCAGGAGCGUGCAGAGACUCCUGAAGAAGAGCAUGUUGAAUGCAUGUGCUUUCAGUAGACGAUGUGUCGGUAUCAGCAAGGCCAAAUGUCUCACAAAUGUUUCCCGUCACCAGACAAACCGUGGCCUGCGCCUGAGGACACACGUGGGUCUGCAGCUGCUGCGCUGUCCGCGUGCGGCGGUGUGCGAUGACCUUUCCUUCCCCGGGAGCCCUCCGUGACCCCUCCACCCCACGAAGCUCCUUCGCCCCUCACCUCCAAUCGCUGCAUGUCCACCCAGGCGAGGCUGCCUGGAGCGACACUUGCCACCUGCAUCCUCCCUGUGAAAGCUCUGUCUCCCAGGCACCGAGGCCCAGGCCUGCUCCCUCCUGCCCGCGAGGCUGUAUCUGGAGGAAAAGGCCGAACGCUGUCAUCUCGGUCUCUGUCUCCGUAUUCCCCGCACGUAUGGCCACGACCCUUUCUGGCUGCAGACGCUCCCCACUGCUGUCUAAGCCCUGCUUAUGCCCUAAAUGAGAAGCGGACCUCUCAGAGCCCAGCACUCCACUCCUCGUGCUCCUCCCAGCGGCCCCGAGGCAGGGGCGGAUUCCAGUCACAACCAAACCUCAGCGUCUGCUUCCAGUGGCUGCGACUUCACACAACGUUUUGCCGCUCCAUUCUGUGCGAAGGAAACCCCAUUUCCACAAUCCCCUACUCAGAAUUCUAUGCUAAGAUUUUAAAUUUGAGAACAAUUGAGCAGUCAGUUUUCUAACUCAGUCAGCUUUGGUACACUCAUGUUGAGGUGACACUUUUGUGCCUUCAGCACUUGUGCCUUUUACACAAGUAACAAACCCCAGUGCCUGAUGCCACUGACAUCUAGUGAAUUAACACCAGUAUCCUGAUUUUUUCCAUGACAUAAGAACAGGUAUUGGUUGUUGAAGCUUGAUAAGUUAGGACACAGAAUGCGGAUUUUAUUCCAUAGGAGAUGGGAACCGCCGGAAGACUGCAGCUGCACAGUAACUAAGGAGGGACUCAGUGCGUCAGGAAGGUGGCCUAGGGAUCGUUUUCAAGGAGAGCAACUAAGGAAGCCUAGGCGUAAGUGUGCUAAGGGCCGGGCUGCUGCAGCACUGAUGAGGACAGAAAAGGAGACUGGAGAAUUAGAAGGAAGAAUUCCCCAGAAGGUUAUGUCAUAUUUGCCUGCUGUUGAUUUGCCAUUUUCCCUGCUGCACAUUUGAAGGGUCCUUGCUCUCACGGAAACUUCGACCUCAGCCCGACAUGGGCUGUCUUACCUUUCUGGCAGAACCUGGUGCGUACAUCUGAACUGCACACCCUCACUGACCUCAGACUUCUCACUGCCUGUCCAUGGCUUCUGAAAUCCAUCGUGGAGCACGCAGCACCUCCCGCAGUGUCAGGUCUCGGGUCAUGCUGGCCUCCACAGGAUGGGGAGGUCCCCUCGUCCUUCCUGCUGGAGGAAGAUAGCUAUUUCAGGGAGGCAGAGUCUGUGCAGACUCCGACUUCCAGACUCAUGCCAUGGAACCAGGAAGGGAAGCCAUGCCUCUGCGUACUCAGUGUAAGCGUGGAAGAGUGGACAGAUAUCUGUUGCUACUCAUCUCUAACAUUUGGUGAGGCAUUGCUCGGGCUACUCAUCCUGAGUGGAAUUCCUUCCCCUUCUUUCCUUAGCAGUUUGGUAUCCUGAUUUUCAGAAACCAGUUCAGACUUCAUCUCUGCCAGAUACCAAUCCAGAAGACGUAAAUCCCGAACCUAUAGUCACACAUCUCUCACCUUCACGAAGACAGUUUAGUUUAAAUUAUUUUCUGUGGCAAAUUCAUCUCCUCAGAAAGCCUGGAGCAGACGCUGAGGUCCAGGUCUCCCCUCCUUUCUCCUCGAAGCCCUUCAUAGCAAUCGUUACUGCUGCUAAUGAAAUAGCAAAUCUAAGGAGAGCUUUGGGAGCUGAGAUUAGGAUCCUGAGGCAUAUGUAGAGCUAGAAAUAGCACUUUGUGUACAUAAGUAAUGGCGUGGCUUCUCAGGCACUUUUUCCUCAGUGUUGGUCAUGCAUAAUCAGCGGUGGUGGGACAAUUAUCUCUUUCUCAGACAAAAACAUCUAAAUAUGCCUUUAAGGUAUCAAUAGUGUUUUAGUUUUUUAAAAUGUGUUAUGACAAUGAUGAAUUUUUUAUCAUCAUACUAGUAAGCUAAUGAGCUAUGAAAAUUCUCCAAGCACUCUAUUUUGCCUCUUUGUUACCAGUUUAUAUAUGCUUUAGAUUAUCUGCAUUCAAAAGGCCAUCUCCUAAGGGCCAAAUCUACUGCAUGAAAGUAGCAUACCGCAGUUCAGAAAGCAGAAUUCCGAAGCUCAGUGUCACAGCCUGCCUGCACCGAACAUCCACACGCAACUCUGGAAUGCCUCCAGCAGUGCAUGUUUUGUUAAAACUUGUUUAACAGAACUGGUAACAGAGGGUUUUUUGUUUGCUUCUUUGUUCAUUUUGUUUAAUUCUAGUAGUGGAAACAAUUGGUGUGUAGCCCUGACCAGCUGAUCUCAGGAUACCUAUUUGGAAAUCCCUCUGAUUGGGAAAAUAGUAAUAAUAAAAUAUGUUUUGUCUAGUUUGCCUCAUGGACUCAUGGCAUUACAGAACAACACAAACAAAAAGGCCCAGAGAAGCUCUAGUCCAAACUGUUAAUUUUAUGGAGAGGGCUGGGUGUGAGUGAUGU